This 492-nucleotide ribosomal RNA is filed under the name uncultured bacterium. Its description in RNAcentral is "partial 16S ribosomal RNA". It matches the Rfam family "Bacterial small subunit ribosomal RNA", at positions 29 to 507 of the family's 1533-position model. The record is from RNAcentral.
AGUGAACGCUGGCGGUAGGCCUAACACAUGCAAGUCGAACGGCAGCACAGUAAGAGCUUGCUCUUACGGGUGGCGAGUGGCUGACGGGUGAGGAAUACAUCGGAAUCUACUUUUUCGUGGGGGAUAACGUAGGGAAACUUACGCUAAUACCGCAUACGACCUACGGGUGAAAGCAGGGGAUCUUCGGACCUUGCGCGAUUGAAUGAGCCGAUGUCGGAUUAGCUAGUUGGCGGGGUAAAGGCCCACCAAGGCGACGAUCCGUAGCUGGUCUGAGAGGAUGAUCCGCCACACUGGAACUGAGACACGGUCCAGACUCCUACGGGAGGCAGCAGUGGGGAAUAUUGGACAAAGGGCGCAAGCCUGAUCCAGCCAUACCGCGUGGGUGAAGAAGGCCUUCGGGUUGUAAAGCCCUUUUGUUGGGAAAGAAAAGCAGCAGGUUAAUACCCCGCUGUUCUGACGGUACCCAAAGAAUAAGCACCGGCUAACUUCGUG